This 292-nucleotide unclassified non-coding RNA is filed under the name fungal sp. Its description in RNAcentral is "partial internal transcribed spacer region". The stretch from base 1 to 46 matches the Rfam family "Eukaryotic small subunit ribosomal RNA", at positions 1786 to 1831 of the family's 1831-position model. The record is from RNAcentral. Lineage: Eukaryota; Fungi.
AAGUCGUAACAAGGUUUCCGUAGGUGAACCUGCGGAAGGAUCAUUAACACAUACCGUUUCUAAUUAAAAACCCAAACCCCUUUUCUAACCAAAAAAAAUAACCCUAUUUUAACACCUAAUACCAUAACUACUUGACUCAAUUUAGAUUGUAUCUCAGAUUAAGCAAUUGACUCUCCAAUUUCUGAUUGGAUUGACUUGCCACGAUUUGAGUCCAAUCGCCCAAUUCAUUUGAAAGAAUGAAUUGUUCUACAAUAAAAACUUACAACUCUUAACAAUGGAUAUCUUGGUUCUC